UGUGUAGGCGGGUCUUUAAGUCAGUGGUGAAAUCUCCGAGCUCAACUUGGAAACUGCCAUUGAUACUAUUGAUCUUGAAUUCUGUUGAGGUGGGCGGAAUAAGUCAUGUAGCGGUGAAAUGCAUAGAUAUGACUUAGAACACCAAUUGCGAAGGCAGCUCACUAAACAGAUAUUGACGCUGAGGCACGAAAGCGUGGGGAUCAAACAGGAUUAGAUACCCUGGUAGUCCACGCCCUAAACGAUGAUUACUCGACAUACGCGAUACACAGUGUGUGUCUGAGCGAAAGCAUUAAGUAAUCCACCUGGGAAGUACGACCGCAAGGUUGAA
Molecule: ribosomal RNA, 328 nt
Filed under: uncultured Chitinophaga sp.
Lineage: Bacteria; Pseudomonadati; Bacteroidota; Chitinophagia; Chitinophagales; Chitinophagaceae
Description: bacterial SSU rRNA
Rfam family: Bacterial small subunit ribosomal RNA
Source: RNAcentral